Molecule: ribosomal RNA, 497 nt
Filed under: uncultured bacterium
Lineage: Bacteria
Description: partial 16S ribosomal RNA
Rfam family: Bacterial small subunit ribosomal RNA
Source: RNAcentral
GAUGAACGCUGGCGGCGUGCCUAAUACAUGCAAGUCGAGCGAACGGACGAGAAGCUUGCUUCUCUGAUGUUAGCGGCGGACGGGUGAGUAACACGUGGAUAACCUACCUAUAAGACUGGGAUAACUUCGGGAAACCGGAGCUAAUACCGGAUGAUAUUUUGAACCGCAUGGUUCAAAAGUGAAAGACGGUCUUGCUGUCACUUAUAGAUGGAUCCGCGCUGCAUUAGCUAGUUGGUAAGGUAACGGCUUACCAAGGCAACGAUGCAUAGCCGACCUGAGAGGGUGAUCGGCCACACUGGAACUGAGACACGGUCCAGACUCCUACGGGAGGCAGCAGUAGGGAAUCGGCCGCAAUGGGCGAAAGCCUGACGGAGCAACGCCGCGUGAGUGAUGAAGGUCUUCGGAUCGUAAAACUCUGUUAUUAGGGAAGAACAGAUGUGUAAGUAACUGUGCACAUCUUGACGGUACCUAAUCAGAAAGCCACGGCUAACUACGUG